RNAcentral lists this long non-coding RNA (684 nucleotides) under Gossypium barbadense (sea-island cotton). RNAcentral's name for it is "long non-coding RNA (GBAR_LNC014522)". The record is from RNAcentral. Lineage: Eukaryota; Viridiplantae; Streptophyta; Magnoliopsida; Malvales; Malvaceae.
AAAAACUCUAACCCAAAGUUACAAGCCUAAUAGCCUAAACAUGUUUUCAAAAACAGAAACCCUAACCCUAGCCUGCGCGCGGCCGCCUCUACCUCGCCAAUGGUCUCAUCGCCCGUAGUCUGCCAUCGUCAACCACCACCUGCAAGGACAGAAACCAAACACGCAACAGAGGUAAGAACAGUAGAAAAAUAGAUAAAAAUAAUAGUGUAAUCUGGCUAUAAAAAAGCCUGAAAACCAAUUGUAAAAGGGGUCCUUUUUUUUUUUAAAGAGAAAUCGAAUACGAAAAAAAGGCAAUCGAAAUACAAAAUCGAAAAACUUUAUAAGGUGAUUUUUUAAUUUUCUUUUUUGAAUCUAUUAUUACAUAUAUAUAUAUAUAAUAAAGUAAAAAAUCUUACCUAAGAUGCAUCAUCGCCCCCGUCAUCUCCGGUCCUUUUCCACCGAGAUGAAGUCCUCAUCGGAGAAAGCCGAAACCUUUAGGUUUCUUUUCCCUCGGCCGAGUGUCAGUUAGAUUUUUGAGAAUUUAAACCCCAAAUCUGGGUUCUAUUCAAAAAGGGGGCCGAAAAAAAGGGUCUUUUAGGUUUUUAGACAAUAGGGAACAGCAAAGCCAUCGCCGGCGACCAGUGGCCGUUGUGGUGGAGGCUAGCCGGCGCCAGGGCCUGAGAUGGGGAGGCUUGGAAAGAAAAA